Molecule: small nuclear RNA, 303 nt
Filed under: Jaculus jaculus (lesser Egyptian jerboa)
Lineage: Eukaryota; Metazoa; Chordata; Mammalia; Rodentia; Dipodidae
Description: 7SK RNA (ENSJJAG00000004583.1)
Rfam family: 7SK RNA
About the family: 7SK was discovered as an abundant small nuclear RNA in the mid-70s but a possible function has only recently been suggested. Two independent studies have found that 7SK RNA binds the CDK9/cyclin T complex (known as elongation factor P-TEFb). P-TEFb activates transcription by phosphorylating the C-terminal domain of RNA polymerase II.
Source: Rfam by way of RNAcentral
AGAUGUAAUCUGGCUGCGACAUCUGUCACCUAUUGAUGGCCAGGGUUGAUUUGGCUAAUCUGGCUGGAUAGACGGGUGUUCCCUUCCUUCCUCACCGCUCCAUGUGCGUCCCUCGGGAAGCUGCGAUUAGUCAAAGAGUAUGACCUUCCCUGAAAACAGGAGGACAGGUCUUCGGUCAAGGGUAUGCAAGUAGCUGUGUUCCCCUGCUAGAACCUCCAACCAAACUCUCAAGAACUACUAGGGUUUGCCCAUGCCAAGGUGUUAUUGUAUUUCUGGCUACCCAGUGGGUGGAUGCCAGGUCAC